RNAcentral lists this transfer RNA (90 nucleotides) under Meloidogyne incognita (southern root-knot nematode). It matches the Rfam family "tRNA". Rfam says of the family: Transfer RNA (tRNA) molecules are approximately 80 nucleotides in length. Their secondary structure includes four short double-helical elements and three loops (D, anti-codon, and T loops). Further hydrogen bonds mediate the characteristic L-shaped molecular structure. tRNAs have two regions of fundamental functional importance: the anti-codon, which is responsible for specific mRNA codon recognition, and the 3' end, to which the tRNAs corresponding amino acid is attached (by aminoacyl-tRNA synthetases). tRNAs cope with the degeneracy of the genetic code in two manners: having more than one tRNA (with a specific anti-codon) for a particular amino acid; and 'wobble' base-pairing, i.e. permitting non-standard base-pairing at the 3rd anti-codon position. The record is from Rfam by way of RNAcentral. Lineage: Eukaryota; Metazoa; Nematoda; Chromadorea; Rhabditida; Meloidogynidae. RNAcentral also lists the same sequence under 1 other name.
GUCCCGGUAGUUCAGUUGGUAGAGCACCUGUACGUGGUAGCGAAAGCUAACUACACCAGAAGGUCGCUGGAUCGAAGCCUGUCCGGGAUU